UACGGGGGGGGCAAGCGUUGUUCGGAAUUACUGGGCGUAAAGGGCUCGUAGGCGGCCAGCUAAGUCAGACGUGAAAUCCCUCGGCUCAACCGGGGAACUGCGUCUGAUACUGGAUGGCUUGAGUGUGGGAGAGGGAUGCGGAAUUCCAGGUUUAGCGGUGAAAUGCGUAGAUAUCUGGAGGAACACCGGUGGCGAAGGCGGCAUCCUGGACCACGACUGACGCUGAGGAGCGAAAGCCAGGGGAGCAAACGGG
This 253-nucleotide ribosomal RNA is filed under the name uncultured bacterium. RNAcentral describes it as "partial 16S ribosomal RNA". It matches the Rfam family "Bacterial small subunit ribosomal RNA", at positions 524 to 776 of the family's 1533-position model. The record is from RNAcentral.